CCCUACGGGACGCAGCAGUGGGGAAUUUUGGACAAUGGGCGCAAGCCUGAUCCAGCCAUGCCGCGUGUGUGAAGAAGGCCUUCGGGUUGUAAAGCACUUUCGGCCGGAACGAAAUCGCGCGGGUUAAUAGUCCGCGUGGAUGGCGGUACCGGAAGAAGAAGCACCGGCUAACUACGUGCCAGCAGCCGCGGUAAUACGUAGGGUGCGAGCGUUAAUCGGAAUUACUGGGCGUAAAGGGUGCGCAGGCGGUUCCGCAAGUCAGGCGUGAGAUCCCCGGGCUUAACCUGGGAAUGGCGCUUGAAACUACGGGACUGGAGUAUGGCAGAGGGAGGUGGAAUUCCACGUGUAGCGGUGAAAUGCGUAGAGAUGUGGAGGAACACCGAUGGCGAAGGCAGCCUCCUGGGCCAAUACUGACGCUCAUGCACGAAAGCGUGGGGAGCAAACAGGAUUAGAUACCCCCGU
Molecule: ribosomal RNA, 462 nt
Filed under: uncultured bacterium
Lineage: Bacteria
Description: bacterial SSU rRNA
Rfam family: Bacterial small subunit ribosomal RNA
Source: RNAcentral